AUGGCGUGUAAAAGAAACCUGAGUUUUACUACUCCCGUGAGUAAUAGGGCUUUGCAACCAGCAGCAAGCCCACUGAGCAUAAAUGAUUUAACGAAACAGCUGAUCUCCGGUCAGAACGCUUUGUCUCGUCAGCUUGAGGGUUUGAUGGAGAAGCAAGCUGCAAACACUGUUCUUCUCGAAGAUGCUAUCCAGCGUCUUUGUGCUCUUGAGCGAAAGUUUGACGAGCAAAGACCGCAAGAGGAACAAAGACCGCGGGAAGAGCCAUUACAUAAAAGGAUAAAGAGGGCGCACAACGUGGGCAUUGCGGAAGCUGUAAGGCGCCUUCACAAUUCGGAAAACAACCCACAUAAAUAUGAUCCACAAACUGGAAUAAGUUCGCCUCGUAACCAAGCAGUCAUGACUUAUCUGCUAGAGGAAUUGAAAACAACUUUUGCAGAUGCAGACCCUGAGUGUAUACAAGCGUGUUGCAAGACAUACUUUGAAACACUUCGGAGAAAGUACAAUUUGUCUCAGCCAGAAAAGUCCCAGCUAAGAGAUGCCAUUAAAACAGGAGCUAAAAACCGACAAAGGAAAAGACGGUUGCUGGAUUCCAGGUCCAAGGUUGUUCAAACCGAUGCAGAGAGAGAGCUUUGGCAGACUGCAACAGUGGAGCUGAUGUCUGACGAGGAGGAUGCCAUUGUUGAUGGAAGGCCAGUGUGGAUUGUGAGGUCUCCAUCUCACAGGAACCCACAAUUGUCAGAACUUUGUGAGGAGCUUCAGCGCAGAUUGGAGGCAGACAUGCGCUACACUAUUUUGCAUCAUCAGCGUGUUAAGGCUGAUGGAAAUGGACAUGAUGGACCUUCCUUUCUUCAACUUUAA
Cyprinus carpio (common carp) is the source of this 858-nucleotide long non-coding RNA. The record is from Ensembl. NCBI's taxonomy places the organism in Eukaryota, Metazoa, Chordata, Actinopteri, Cypriniformes, Cyprinidae.